Long non-coding RNA from Corvus moneduloides (New Caledonian crow), 2982 nucleotides. The record is from Ensembl. NCBI's taxonomy places the organism in Eukaryota, Metazoa, Chordata, Aves, Passeriformes, Corvidae.
AUGCCUCCUUCCCGAGCCAAGACUCAGCAGAAAAAGGCUGGAAAAGAGAAGGUGUUCAAUUGUGAGAGAAACUCCUCAGGAGACUCAAAGAUCCACUGUGGGAAGCGGAGGGAAGGUAAGAGCAGAAGCCAAGUGAAGGGAAAAGAGUCACUGCCUGGACAAGGUGACAGCCUUGGAGAAGAGCCCUUAAAAAUCCAGAGGCUGGGGAGGCCUCAGGAAAGCAGAGAAAAUGACCACAAGAAGUUAUUCCGGAGAAAAAGAGCCUGCAGGAGAAAUGAUAAAAGUGAAUCUGCUUUGGGGAGAAAACAGGGAGUGUCCAGUUUGGAGGGGAAAAAUGGGAAGGCCUGCAAGCAACAGGAAAUGGCAUCAGGGCAGGAGAGUGAGGACAGCAGUGACAAGGAGGGAAAAGCCAUCACAAACAGAAAGAAGCAGAGUUUUAAAAAGAGGUGUGGAAAGAGACCUGGUGUUGGUGAAACAGGCACUGAGCUGGGGGCUGCAAAGGCCAUCAUAGGGCAAGGUGCUGAAGGUUCUUUUCAGAAAGAGAACUUGGCAGAGAAGGCACAGAACCCCAGAGGAAGGCACAGAGGGAAUCAGGACUCCAAGGAGACUUCUGAGCAGAAAUCAGGUUCUCAAUCCCAAGGCAGUACAGCACAGGAAAAAGGUGAGAGGAGUGGGAAAAAGCAAGCUGAAAAACUUGCCAGGAUUGUCAUUGCUGAAAGCGAGGAUGAAAAUAUUCUGGAAACCUCAGGCAACUCCUUCUCUGACUCCAGCAGUGAAGACCAUGGGACCCACAAAACAGAUACAGAGGAGGCUGUGGUGGGCAGCGCUUCCAGCAGUGAAGAGAAGAGCAGCUCCGCGGAAGAGAAGAGCAGCUCUUCAGAGGAAGAUGGCCACAGUGAGAAAGAAGUUGUGCUCAAAGAUCCUCCUGUGAGUGAAGGAAAAGGCUACAAGGAACUGGCUCAUGAAAGCAAGGAAGCAUCCAUUAAACCUGAAAGGGACCAGGUGAAUACAGAUGGAAAAAUCGAAUCUGAGGCUGAAGGCAUUGAAUUUGCAGGAUUGGAAGCAGAGGAGAAGAUGAGGAAGCCAGACAAUGUGCUGAGACAACCAAAAUGUGCUCCAGCUGAGAGCAGUGAGGCAGAUGAUCAGUUAAUCACUUCAGGACUCCAAGUUAAGAGUGUUAAGAACAGAGGAAAUACUGAAGUAGACAAGGAAAAUAUACUAGAAAAUGACAGAGUUGAAGAUAUGUCGAAAGAUGGACAUGUGAAUUCUGGCAGCAGUGAGGAGAGCAGCACUGCAGAGAACAUUGAUGAAGUAAAAGAAAAUGAACCAGAACCACUCCCAAAUGCUGUGAAAGCAAAACUCCACGUUCACCUUAGCAAAUAUGAACAGGAAGAGAAGGUGAAUGAUGAAGGCAGAGAGCUGCAAAAUGGCUCUUUCCUCUCCAAGCAGCAGAGGAUAUUGAAGGAGAAAUCUGGAAAGUGUGAGAUCCCAGAACAAGGUGAAGAGGCUGAACAUAGACAGAGGGACAGCUCAGACUGCAGCAGGCAGGGCCUACCAGCACUGGUGCUUACAAAGAAAUGUUCUUCUCGAUCCCAAAUCCCCCUCAGUCUGAAAAACCAGCAUAAAACCACUGAGACCAAACUAUCACCAAGCCAGAAACCAAAUCCUGCCCAGAUGGCUUUGGGAACCAGCUCAGACCUGAACAAUGUUGAAAGCAUCUGUUCAAAACCCAUGACUCUAGAAACUCUCAGUAAACAAAAAGAACCCAACAUAGCUCAGAGUAUUGAAGAGAAGAGAUUAAAUACUUCAAGCUGCUCCACCAUUACAAAAAAAACAUCUGAUAAGCACCUCCUUGGAAAGAAGAAGAAAGUUGGAAAAGAUGUUGGAAAAUUUAAACAGAGUUCAGGCCAGUCUACAAAGGCAAAAAAAGAGAAAGCGGAAGAAGUGGUUGCAGAGGCACCUUCUGAAACAGAACCCGUGCACGGUGGGGAAGGAUCCAAGCACUUGCACACCCGUUCUGCUUUUAGAAAAGUCACCAGCUGGCUUGGCCAAAAACCUGCCAAGAAAGUAAGGCUGAAAGCUCGACUGCUGAGUGUGGCACGUGCAAUUGGUAUCUCCAGAUGGCUCUUGAAGAAAUUUGGGAAAAAGAGGAGCAGCAAGCCUUUUGGAUUCAGAAGCAGAAUGGCAAUCCAGAUUCUGAGCACUGUGGGGUGGGUUGGUCAGUCUGGCAAAGCCUUCCCUGGUGCAGCUGGACAGCUGGGGAGGGCUGAGCCAAAGGACAAAGGAUCUUCUGCUUCCUUAGAGGAGGGCAAAGGUGGUUCUAAAAUGGUAGAGGAAGUGGGACAUGUUGAUUUGCCUCCUGGUGAUUCCCCUCUUCAUGGAAAAAGUUCCUUUCCAUGCUCGGAUGAGAAGAACGGUGCUACUGAUGCCAAGUGUGCUAUAGUGUUCCCCAGAGUCCACAGCUUGGUUAAGGCUAAGAACUCCUUGUCCAGGGACUCUGGCAAUGGUUAUUCCCUACAGAAACUGACAUCUCCAUCAGAGAGAAAAUCUGUCCCUCCUGUGCAACAGGGUUGCAGAUCCAAAUGUGACCUUCCCAGCCAGAGAAUCGGUGAGCAGGGCUUCCUCCCACAUCGAGAAGAGGAGCCAAUUCAUACAUCAGAUUAUUGCAGUGAGGUAGAUGUCAAGGAGGGCUCAGUCCUGCAGACUGCAGGAUCUGUGGUCACUCCUUGUGUGCACUGGUCCCAGCAGCAGGGGCAAGGAUGUGACCCUGCAGUGUGGCUGAACUCCGAGCUGCUGCUGCCAUGGCCAACCAUCGAGAACCUGAGCAAAUGGGCCCUGUCCAAGGACCCCCAGCUGGCCAGCAGCUGUGUGAGGGUCUGCAAGGACCAGUGGGAGGCAGAAGAUGUCACUGACAACGUGCUGGAGAUGGAGUUCACGCAGAAACAGGUACAGGUGUUGUCCCCAGCACUGGAAUGGAACUGA